This is a long non-coding RNA of Carassius gibelio (silver crucian carp), 526 nucleotides long. RefSeq lists it as uncharacterized. NCBI's taxonomy places the organism in Eukaryota, Metazoa, Chordata, Actinopteri, Cypriniformes, Cyprinidae. The transcript is spliced from 5 exons. The record is from RefSeq and is a predicted model, not a curated record.
GCGGUUAGAUCGUUUCUCUGUAGUUGUUAUGCGGUUGCUAGGUUGUUCUAGUUAGCGGUUAGAUCGUUUCUCUGUAGUUGUUAUGCGGUUGCUAGGUUGUUCUAGUUAGCGGUUAGAUCGUUUCUCUGUAGUUGUUAUGCGGUUGCUAGGUUGUUCUAGUUAGCGGUUAGAUCGUUUCUCUGUAGUUGUUAUGCGGUUGCUAGGUUAUUCUAGUUAGCGGUUAGAUCGUUUCUCUGUAGUUGUUAUGCGGUUGCUAGGUUGUUCUAGUUAGCGGUUAGAUCGUUUCUCUGUAGUUGUUAUGCGGUUGCUAGGUUGUUCUAGUUAGCGGUUAGAUCGUUUCUCUGUAGUUGUUAUGCGGUUGCUAGGUUGUUCUAGUUAGCGGUUAGAUCGUUUCUCUGUAGUUGUUAUGCGGUUGCUAGGUUGUUCUAGUUAGCGGUUAGAUCGUUUCUCUGUAGUUGUUAUGCGGUUGCUAGGUUAUUCAAGUUAGCGGUUAGAUCGUUUCUCUGUAGUUGUUAUGCGGUUGCUA